GCCUACAGCCAGACUGGACUGAUUGCACCUGAUCCCAUGUGAUCUCAGAAGCUAAGCAGUCCUGGGCCCGGCUAGUACCUGGAUGGGAGACCGCCUGGGAAUCCCGUAGGCCGCCUGCC
Molecule: ribosomal RNA, 119 nt
Filed under: Crocodylus porosus (Australian saltwater crocodile)
Lineage: Eukaryota; Metazoa; Chordata; Crocodylia; Crocodylidae
Source: RNAcentral